This is a long non-coding RNA of Oncorhynchus masou masou (cherry salmon), 430 nucleotides long. RefSeq lists it as uncharacterized. The transcript is spliced from 4 exons. The record is from RefSeq and is a predicted model, not a curated record. Lineage: Eukaryota; Metazoa; Chordata; Actinopteri; Salmoniformes; Salmonidae.
AGGAUCUAGUAAGAGAUCCCAUUCUCACUUUUAUUUCUUUACACGUGUACUUUGGAAUAGUAACCGACUAUUUUUUCCAAACAUGCGUUCAUAAACGUUCAUGGAUUAAUGCGUUUUUAUGCUGGAGGAAACUUUCUCACCAAUUGUUUUGAAGAAGUAUGUUGUCUUGCAUCAGAGAAGACAUGAGUUGCUUGCUAAAAUGGGCAGCUUUCCUCUGGAUCGUACAUACCAUUCCUUGCACUGUUGGAAUGGCAUUGAACGAAAGAAUAGACAACUCUAGAUGUCCUCCAUUGAAAGUAGACAAGGACCUGUUUUCCUACAGUUUAAAUGGUCCACAGCCAGAAUUCACCGGUUUUGAUCUGACAGAAAAGUUUCUCCUGAGAAAGGGGGCAGUGACAGAGGAGCGGCCAUCAUUCCGGCUGGGGAGCAG